AGGGACGGAGAAAACAUAACGUGACGUAUGACAAGAUGGAAGCAGGAAGUCCACAAAGUUAUAUUUCAAUGACUUCAUUAAUAAAUGGUACUUCCAACUUUAUAAUAAUCAGUGGGAUAAAAAUAAGGUAGAAUGAGGUUCCCAACAAGACAGGCAUUCACAAGCUCAAGCAAGAAAUGAGUCCUUAUCUGAAGAGCCUGGAGCUAAUUAGCAAAAAUGGCAAAGAGCUGGUUUAGACUUGCAAGGAUGUGGAUUACAAAGAAAAAAAUAUAUAUAUGUUUGUUCUACUUGGAAAAAAGGAAAGAAAGAUGAGGAAGAAGAAGAUGGGGGAAAAAAAAAGAGCAGUUAAUCACAGUUACCUUGCAGUACACUGCACUUCUAAUGUUCAAACCAUUGGACCAGUUAAACUUCGUACUACGUAUGCUUGAUAUUAAUCUAAGCAAUGACAUUCACAAUUCAAAUAAACAAUUCACAAUUACAAUUCACAGUUCUUCACUUAUAAGCAGAUUCACAAUUUAAAUAAACAUUACUAAACAAGGAGAACAUUAGUAUUUGUUGUCAAGGUACAUAAAUACUGUGAAAUACUGUGUAUAAUACAAUUCAGGCUGGUUAGUGAGCUAGAGCUGUACUAUCUCUGAGCAGACCCAGGAACUGUCUACAAGGCAUUUCUCUACUUGACACAUUUAAACCAAAUGUUUAAGGCAAGGUGAGCUGCUGUUUCAGAACUGAAACAUUAAAAAUAGAAGCAGAAUCCAUUCGAAGACUGAACCAAUGUCACUCAUUUCCAUAGCUUUCCUAGACCUGAAGGAGGUAUGGCCGUACCCUGAAGUCAAAUGCCCUCCUCAUCUCAGCUCAGAUGAAUGGCCUCAUUUGGGAACUUGCGGAAGGACCUGUAAACUUUGUGGUAAUGAGAUUAUGGAUUUGCUAGCUACAGGCAUUCAUUAGCACACUGCUCUGCGCAGAUGGCCUGCAAUUUGUACAUUUUCCAGUUUAUAAACAACUCAGCAAAAGCUGACCAUCAAAGCCAAUUAGAAUUCAUGCCAGGCAGCAGGUUCCCCUUCCAGUAGCACCAGCCUUUGUAGCUGCAGACAGGGCUGGUGUGACGAACCUAUCCACUGCUUCUCACAUCUCCGCAGCUGGGGGCUUCCCUUGGAAAGAGCUGGGCUUUGUGGCACUGCUGCCUUCCAUGGUGACUCUGGGAGUAAAUAAAGGGAUUAUUUUACGCACUGCCAAAAGAGGCGUUAGCUGAGUAUGACGUGUGUUACACAUUUUUGCUCAAUAUACUCUUUUCUCAACCUACAAUUAGCCAAAAAUCGUAACGAAACCAGAAAACUACCAAAGCCUCCAGUAAGAUGUAAGACAUCUACCUCCAGAUCUGUGUUCUUAUAGAGCUUUUCCAGGAGUGCGUGCAUCCCGAGCCACUCUUUACUGCAUGCAGCACUGCAACGCUUGGUGGAUGAGAAAUGCUUACAUUAAUGCAAAGCAUUUAAAAGAAUGAUGUUCUCUGUGAAGGGAGAACAUUAAACAGACGGAACAUAAACGUGAAAGCAUUGAGAGAUGUGCAAUCAAAAGCGAUUUGUAAACAGGGGCAUGCAUUGCCUUUUGCUUCUUAUCUGGAGACCUGAUGACACUGUGAAUACACAUCUCUAAUUCCAGCACUCAAAGAGAGAAAGACUGCUUUGACCUCAGCAAAUGAAUGCCUUCGAAGGUGGAAAACCAAGAGAUGAAUUCAAAGGAAAAUCUGAUAAAUGCAAAGGCCUCACGAUGCCAGAAGGCUGUUGUUACUUACAGCAACUACUGGAGAAUUUCAUCACACAAACGUACACACAACCAAUACACAAAAUAAAGGCAACAAAGGAAGUUACCGCAUCUCUCUGUUGAAAUGAGGUGCGUGGUCUGAACUGCCAACCUGUCAUCUCGGAACUGCAGAGCUGGAACUCAUUGGUAUUUAACUUCCCUCGAUUUUCCACCACUGGAGGCCAUGCAGUUGCUCAUAACAGUCCAAAAUCCUUUUCUUUCUAAGCAUUAGUCUGUCUUAAGUCCUGACAUGUUUAUAUUUUGAACUAGACUUAUAAUGCCCGUCGAUAAUUGCAGUAAGUUUAUAAAAACAUAUCUGAUUUUUUUUUUUCCUCCUGAAAUAGAUCUGCUCAGAACUCAAAUACCGCCAUCAAUUACUGACAAAGGCUAAUCACGUAAUGAUCUACGAAAGAAAUGCAGGGGCAGAUAUGGAUUCAUUCAGCUACUACAUAUUGGGUGGCAGCAGAUGAAUUAGCAUAAUCAUAAAUUAUUCUAAUUACAGAAAGCAAUUAUCAAAGAGCAGCUUACAGUAUUAUAAAAGGGAAAUCAGUUAAAUGCACCGUAUCCCAGGUUCUCCUGCACAUCAAGACUAAGGGAAGGCCUGGCAGGCUUCCGGCACUUUCUCUGCUGACUCCAGAGCACACACUGGGAGAUGAUAGUGCCAGGCUCACAUUGGUGCAGAUACAAAGAAGAAACCUCCCAUCCACAUAAAUCAUUGUGGGAGAUUAAUAAACACAAAAGCCCGUCUGCAGGAUCCAAGCAAUUCACAUUUACCUUCACGAUCACAUACUAUUUUAUCAACGCAAUCAAAGAACAUUGAUCUUCCUUGCAAGAAGCCUACCUCCAGAAACACACAGGCCUCAGGUCAACUACCUGCUGAAGUUUUUUAAAUUAAUCCACCGAGAGAACACUGUUACCGAAUCGUUUAAUCACAGCGCUGUCAUGCUGUUCCGGUGCCUUGUAGGAGCAUAAACCUCAAACAGCAAGUGACGUCGAGGGAGGCUGUGCUCCCGUGCAGGCCAGACACCAGUGCUGUCUUCUCUUCUGGAACUCAUACUUGGAGCUACGUCCCAUUUACAACGAAGCAAGCAUUUUUGUUUGUGUGCUUUAAAAUCUCAACCAAAAACUGAUAUUGGUGAAUAAUCCAGGAGGGGAAAAGGGCUGAUGUGUUGGAGGGGGAAGGGAGUAACAAAAAAUAAAUAUGUAUUUCAUAUAUGCUCUUGUAUAAAUAUAAUGGGAAGAUAACAGCUUGUAUGUGCUUCUCCAUUUGUAAUGCUAAAGACAAAGGUGAGCAAUAGGUUGACUCAGACAUGCUAUUUUAAACCACUGUUAAGAGCAUACAUUGCUAAAUGUACCCUUGCUAAUGGUAUGUUGUCUGAUGAUUUAAAAUAAAAGAAUCAGUGCUAAUAAAGCCAAAGCUUUUCCUUUUCUAGAUAACACAAGAUCUCAGGGCAUACAGGAAUCCACAGACCUCGUUUUAAGCGUGCUGCACAAAGUGCGCGUUUCUCAGUGUUGUGGUGUGGGGUUCUCAGAAGGAAACAAGGAACCCACAGCACUCAUGUCUCCAGUUGUGCUCACGGUGCCACUAAGCUUUUCUGCCAAUCAUUUUUAAGUAGCAGUCUUCAGAUAUGACAAUUUCAAGAAUGUGACUGUGAGAUAUCUCUACGAGAAAACCCCUUUUUAUCCACGGUGAACCCUCCUGUUCUACGUGCUAAAAAAAUGUAUCUAAAAACCAACUCUCUCUAUGCAAAGAAAUACAAUUGUUAACCAACGUGCAACUCAGGCUGUGUCACUAAACGCAGCCGAGCAGAUCUGCAACACAAAUAACUUAUUGCUUUCUGUUGUAACGUUGUUUGCAAUCUGAAAAUGUAUACCUGUAUGUUCGGAGAGGUAAAACAUUGCCAGAACCUGUGAUGUUGUACAAUUCCAGUUUCACAGUAAUUCAAUGAUACUUAUUCCAGGUGAUCAAGUGACUAGCACAAGUACAUUGCACCAGCAGAAUCUGAAUAGAAAGAACCCUUGCUAACUUAGACAAAGAAAGGCACGUUGUGAAAAAGAAAUACAACUACAAAGUGCAAUAACAAAUGUGACAAUAACAAAGUGCUGCUUUGAAGUCUUAAAGCAUUUAGAUAUCUGCCAGGGGAUGCUUUCUCAUACCAGGUUGGCUGGAUAGGUUGAAUGUUUCAACCUACUAACAAACAUUUCACCUCUGAAACAGCAUAACAUUCUGACUACAGUAGCACCAACAUGGUAUAAUCACUAUGUUGUUCUGCUUUCCUUUGAUCUCAUUGUGAUAGACACCAAGGUUAGUCUGUCUGCACUGCAACUACAUACGUACACACACGUGUCUAUACAUAAUGGAAGGAAAAAUAUGUUUGCAUUAAGAUUCAGCAUGUGUGUUAGUGACAAGAUUCAGGAAAUAGAAAUGCUUGGAAAUACACAAUUAAACUAAGAUUUAGGCAGGAACAGGGAAAUGAAGAGUUUUUGCAAGAACGGAUCAUCGGGGCACAUACACAUCUCCCUUGCUUGUGGAAGAUGGCAGCUUA
This is a long non-coding RNA of Numida meleagris (helmeted guineafowl), 4343 nucleotides long. RefSeq lists it as uncharacterized. The transcript has 4 exons. NCBI's taxonomy places the organism in Eukaryota, Metazoa, Chordata, Aves, Galliformes, Numididae. The record is from RefSeq and is a predicted model, not a curated record.